GACGAACGCUGUCGGCGUACCUAAUACCUGCAAGUCGAACGCAGUGGGGACGGGUUAGUAACACGUGGGUAACCUCCCAUCAGAGGGGAUAACACUUGGAAACAGGUGCUAAACCGAUACUGAUGGAUGGAGCCGCGGUGCAUUAGCUAGUUGGUGAGGUAACGGCUCACAAAGGCCACGAUGCAUAGCCGCCCUGCGAGGUAGAGCGGCCACACGGGGACUGAGACACGGCCGUGAAUCCGACGGGAGACAGCAGUAGGAAAGAUUCGGAAAUGGACGAAAGUCUGACCGAGCAACGCCGCGGGAGUGAAGAAGGUGUUCGGUUCGUAAAAAUAUGUUGUUAGAGAAGCGGUAUCUAACCAGAAAGCCACGGAUAACUCAGUGCCAGCAGCCGCGGUAAUAC
This 403-nucleotide ribosomal RNA is filed under the name uncultured bacterium. RNAcentral's name for it is "partial 16S ribosomal RNA". It matches the Rfam family "Bacterial small subunit ribosomal RNA", at positions 28 to 526 of the family's 1533-position model. The record is from RNAcentral.